AUACAGAGGGUGCGAGCGUUAAUCGGAAUUACUGGGCGUAAAGCGCGCGUAGGCGGCUUAUUAAGUCAGAUGUGAAAUCCCCGGGCUCAACCUGGGAACUGCAUCUGAUACUGGUAAGCUAGAGUUUUGGAGAGGGAAGUAGAAUUUCAGGUGUAGCGGUGAAAUGCAUAGAGAUCUGAAGGAAUACAAGUGGCGAAGGCGACUUCCUGGCCAAAAACUGACGCUGAGGUGCGAAAGCGUGGGUAGCAAACGGGAUUAGAAACCCUAGUAGUCC
Molecule: ribosomal RNA, 274 nt
Filed under: uncultured bacterium
Lineage: Bacteria
Description: partial 16S ribosomal RNA
Rfam family: Bacterial small subunit ribosomal RNA
Source: RNAcentral